Molecule: ribosomal RNA, 254 nt
Filed under: uncultured bacterium
Lineage: Bacteria
Description: partial 16S ribosomal RNA
Rfam family: Bacterial small subunit ribosomal RNA
Source: RNAcentral
UACGAAGGAUCCAAGCGUUAUCCGGAUUUAUUGGGUUUAAAGGGCGCGUAGGCGGCCAGCACAAGUCAGUUGUGAAAUCUCCGAGCUUAACUCGGAAAGGUCAACUGAUACUGUGCGGCUAGAGUGCGGAAGGGGCAACUGGAAUUCUUGGUGUAGCGGUGAAAUGCGUAGAUAUCAAGAGGAACACCUGCGGCGAAGGCGGGUUGCUGGGCCGACACUGACGCUGAUGCGCGAAAGCUAGGGGAGCGAACGGG